GUGAAAUAUAAGAUUUGAAAUAUAUACGGGGUUAUAAAAUUAAUCAUCUUGAGUGAAAAUUUUUCGUGAAAUUCUCUAAAUACACAUCUAUGUUAAUAAUGAGCUUUGAAAUAACAACUUGAUUGACACAAAAACAAAAAUUAUAUUGAUUACUUAUACUUUGAUAGGUACAAACAAUGGUUAUACUUUUACUUGUACCCAGGCCAGUCAAUGGUGUGAAAAAGAAAUCGUUUAUACUAUAAGUUAUGACAGUGAUUCCCAAAAUGGUGCAGGGGUCCACGGGAAGCUUUAUAACAGGAGCGUACUUCAAUUUCCAUAAUAUCUGAUUUUUUGACUAGUUGGAAAUAUGGUGUAAAUGUAUCAACUUUAACAAUAAUUAUUUUGAGUGGUUUACGAGGAAAAAAAGUUUGGGAACUUCUGAGUUAAGGGGAUCGUGAAAAAUAAUGAUAUAAAGUUUUUCUAUAUUUAAUUCAAAAAUAAAGUUGUUGUGGUUUAGAUAAA
Diorhabda carinulata is the source of this 501-nucleotide long non-coding RNA. RefSeq lists it as uncharacterized. The transcript is spliced from 2 exons. NCBI's taxonomy places the organism in Eukaryota, Metazoa, Arthropoda, Insecta, Coleoptera, Chrysomelidae. The record is from RefSeq and is a predicted model, not a curated record.